GUUGAAAUAAUUUAAAAUAAAAUAUUGAUUUUGUAAAUCAAAUUUGACUAAGUCUUUCAAUU
Molecule: transfer RNA, 62 nt
Filed under: Rhipicephalus simus
Lineage: Eukaryota; Metazoa; Arthropoda; Arachnida; Ixodida; Ixodidae
Description: tRNA-Thr
Source: RNAcentral